ACUUAAAUAGCUUAUGGUUUAGAGCGCGACGCUGAAGAUGUCGAUGAGGUAUUUGUGCCUUUAGGUG
RNAcentral lists this transfer RNA (67 nucleotides) under Termes sp. A TB-2017. RNAcentral's name for it is "tRNA-Phe". The record is from RNAcentral. Lineage: Eukaryota; Metazoa; Arthropoda; Insecta; Blattodea; Termitidae.